ACAUGCCUACAACAUAGAAUUAAUGCAAAAGAUCCCAUUAUAAAUCUGUAGUUAAGAGCGCUCAUAAUAGAGUAGUAUUGGGAUGGGAGACCGCCCAGGAUGUCCUAGUGUUUUACAUGCC
Picea glauca (white spruce) is the source of this 121-nucleotide non-coding RNA. The record is from Rfam. NCBI's taxonomy places the organism in Eukaryota, Viridiplantae, Streptophyta, Pinopsida, Pinales, Pinaceae.